RNAcentral lists this ribosomal RNA (696 nucleotides) under Lutibacter sp. RNAcentral describes it as "bacterial SSU rRNA". It matches the Rfam family "Bacterial small subunit ribosomal RNA", at positions 28 to 715 of the family's 1533-position model. Lineage: Bacteria; Pseudomonadati; Bacteroidota; Flavobacteriia; Flavobacteriales; Flavobacteriaceae. The record is from RNAcentral.
GAUGAACGCUAGCGGCAGGCUUAACACAUGCAAGUCGAGGGGUAACAGGGAGAAGCUUGCUUUUCCGCUGACGACCGGCGCACGGGUGCGUAACGCGUAUAGAACCUACCUUUUACAGAGGAAUAGCCCAGAGAAAUUUGGAUUAAUGCCUCAUAGUAUUAUAGAAUGGCAUCAUUUUAUAAUUAAACAUUUAUGGGUAAAAGAUGGCUAUGCGUUCUAUUAGCUAGUUGGUAAGGUAACGGCUUACCAAGGCUACGAUAGAUAGGGGUCCUGAGAGGGAGAUCCCCCACACUGGUACUGAGACACGGACCAGACUCCUACGGGAGGCAGCAGUGAGGAAUAUUGGACAAUGGAGGCAACUCUGAUCCAGCCAUGCCGCGUGCAGGAAGACGGCCCUAUGGGUUGUAAACUGCUUUUAUAUAGGAAGAAACCUUUCCACGUGUGGAAAGCUGACGGUACUAUAAGAAUAAGCACCGGCUAACUCCGUGCCAGCAGCCGCGGUAAUACGGAGGGUGCAAGCGUUAUCCGGAAUCAUUGGGUUUAAAGGGUCCGUAGGCGGACUAAUAAGUCAGGGGUGAAAUCCAACAGCUUAACUGUUGAACUGCCUUUGAUACUGUUAGUCUUGAAUUAUAUGGAAGUAGAUAGAAUGUGUAGUGUAGCGGUGAAAUGCUUAGAGAUUACACAGAAUACCGAUUG